RNAcentral lists this transfer RNA (73 nucleotides) under Ailuropoda melanoleuca (giant panda). It matches the Rfam family "tRNA". From Rfam's summary of the family: Transfer RNA (tRNA) molecules are approximately 80 nucleotides in length. Their secondary structure includes four short double-helical elements and three loops (D, anti-codon, and T loops). The record is from Rfam by way of RNAcentral. Lineage: Eukaryota; Metazoa; Chordata; Mammalia; Carnivora; Ursidae.
ACCUGGCUGGCUCAAUCCUUAGAGCAUGUGACUCUGGAUCUCAGAGUCGUGAGUUCAAGCCCCACGUUGGGCA